GGGUGAAACGGUGGGGUAAGAGCCCACCAGCGAUCGUGGCGACACGAUCGGCUCGCCAAACCCCGUCCGGUGCAAGGCGAAGCAGGUCCCGUCGACGCGGCCCGCCGAGGGACCGGGUACGCCGCACAGAGAGAUGGUCAUCCUCGACAGAAUCCGGCUUACAGGCCUGCUACGGAA
Molecule: RNase P RNA, 177 nt
Filed under: Actinomycetota bacterium
Lineage: Bacteria; Bacillati; Actinomycetota
Description: Actinobacteria bacterium partial RNase P RNA component class A
Rfam family: Bacterial RNase P class A
About the family: Ribonuclease P (RNase P) is a ubiquitous endoribonuclease, found in archaea, bacteria and eukarya as well as chloroplasts and mitochondria.
Source: RNAcentral